AGAGUUUGAUCCUGGCUCAGAUUGAACGCUGGCGGCAGGCCUAACACAUGCAAGUCGAGCGGUAACAUUUCUAGCUUGCUAGAAGAUGACGAGCGGCGGACGGGUGAGUAAUGCUUGGGAACAUGCCUUGAGGUGGGGGACAACAGUUGGAAACGACUGCUAAUACCGCAUAAUGUCUACGGACCAAAGGGGGCUUCGGCUCUCGCCUUUAGAUUGGCCCAAGUGGGAUUAGCUAGUUGGUGAGGUAAUGGCUCACCAAGGCGACGAUCCCUAGCUGGUUUGAGAGGAUGAUCAGCCACACUGGGACUGAGACACGGCCCAGACUCCUACGGGAGGCAGCAGUGGGGAAUAUUGCACAAUGGGCGCAAGCCUGAUGCAGCCAUGCCGCGUGUGUGAAGAAGGCCUUCGGGUUGUAAAGCACUUUCAGUCAGGAGGAAAGGUUAGUAGUUAAUACCUGCUAGCUAUGACGUUACUGACAGAAGAAGCACCGGCUAACUCCGUGCCAGCAGCCGCGGUAAUACGGAGGGUGCGAGCGUUAAUCGGAAUUACUGGGCGUAAAGCGUACGCAGGCGGUUUGUUAAGCGAGAUGUGAAAGCCCCGGGCUCAACCUGGGAACUGCAUUUCGAACUGGCAAACUAGAGUGUGAUAGAGGGUGGUAGAAUUUC
Molecule: ribosomal RNA, 665 nt
Filed under: uncultured Pseudoalteromonas sp.
Lineage: Bacteria; Pseudomonadati; Pseudomonadota; Gammaproteobacteria; Alteromonadales; Pseudoalteromonadaceae
Description: bacterial SSU rRNA
Rfam family: Bacterial small subunit ribosomal RNA
Source: RNAcentral